AAGUAAGCAAUAAAUUCUAGAGACAAAAAUUACGAGAGUUUAUGUUCAACAUAUUUGCAAAAUAAUAAAAUAAAAGAGUGUAAAAAAUAAAUCAAAGUUGGUAAUAAAAUGGGAUAAAAUAAAAUAAAAUGAAAGUGAAAUAAAAAAUAAAUAGACAAAAUGCAUACAUUGGGGGUUGAACCCCUGACCUUAGGGUCAUCGGGGGAUCAACCCCCUCUCCCACUGGGCCACAAGCUCAG
This 239-nucleotide long non-coding RNA is filed under the name Lathyrus oleraceus (garden pea). RNAcentral describes it as "Pisum sativum (pea) long non-coding RNA (PSAT_LNC025441)". Lineage: Eukaryota; Viridiplantae; Streptophyta; Magnoliopsida; Fabales; Fabaceae. The record is from RNAcentral.